Molecule: ribosomal RNA, 473 nt
Filed under: uncultured organism
Description: partial 16S ribosomal RNA
Rfam family: Bacterial small subunit ribosomal RNA
Source: RNAcentral
GUACACUCCUACGGGAGGCAGCAGUGGGGAAUUUUGGACAAUGGGCGAAAGCCUGAUCCAGCAAUGCCGCGUGAGUGAAGAAGGCCUUCGGGUUGUAAAGCUCUUUUGUCAGGGAAGAAACGGUGAGAGCUAAUAUCUCUUGCUAAUGACGGUACCUGAAGAAUAAGCACCGGCUAACUACGUGCCAGCAGCCGCGGUAAUACGUAGGGUGCAAGCGUUAAUCGGAAUUACUGGGCGUAAAGCGUGCGCAGGCGGUUUUGUAAGUCUGAUGUGAAAUCCCCGGGCUCAACCUGGGAAUUGCAUGGGAGACUGCAAGGCUAGAAUCUGGCAGAGGGGGGUAGAAUUCCACGUGUAGCAGUGAAAUGCGUAGAUAUGUGGAGGAACACCGAUGGCGAAGGCAGCCCCCUGGGUCAAGAUUGACGCUCAUGCACGAAAGCGUGGGGAGCAAACAGGAUUAGAAACCCGAGUAGUCC